UAAUUAAGUCAAUGGAACAAUAACCUUGUAACCUGGUCAGGGCGGGAACGCAGCAGCCACAUCAAGAAGUGUUGUGUCUGUUGACUUUUUGUAUUGA
Molecule: signal recognition particle RNA, 97 nt
Filed under: Mycoplasma zalophidermidis
Lineage: Bacteria; Bacillati; Mycoplasmatota; Mollicutes; Mycoplasmatales; Mycoplasmataceae
Description: signal recognition particle sRNA small type
Rfam family: Bacterial small signal recognition particle RNA
About the family: The signal recognition particle (SRP) is a universally conserved ribonucleoprotein involved in the co-translational targeting of proteins to membranes. Archaeal SRP consists of a 7S RNA and homologues of the eukaryotic SRP19 and SRP54 proteins.
Source: RNAcentral